AGAUACCCUACUAUGCUCAGCUGUAAACACAGACCCUUCUUUAUCCGCCAGAGAAUAACGAGCUAAAACUUAAAACUCAAAGGACUUGGCGGCAUUCCACACCACCCUAGAGGGGCCUGUCACAUAAUCGAUAACCCACGAUACACCUCACCCCUUUCCCCCGCCUAUAUACCGCCGUCGCCAGCCCAUCUUGAGAAAGAGACCAAAUGGGCUAAACAGUCCCACCACACUAGUACGACAGGUCAAGGUGUAGCCAAUAAAGCGGCAAUGAUGGACCACAUUGCCCAUAAAGCAAAACCAAAAUUGUGAUGAAACACGCACUUUAAGGUGAAUUUAACAGUAAGACGGGCAAGAAAACCCAUCUAAAGGCUGCCCUGGAACGUGCACACACCGCCCGUCAC
This 401-nucleotide ribosomal RNA is filed under the name Rhampholeon acuminatus (Nguru pygmy chameleon). RNAcentral's name for it is "12S ribosomal RNA". It matches the Rfam family "Bacterial small subunit ribosomal RNA", at positions 780 to 1400 of the family's 1533-position model. The record is from RNAcentral. Lineage: Eukaryota; Metazoa; Chordata; Lepidosauria; Squamata; Chamaeleonidae.